Molecule: transfer RNA, 76 nt
Filed under: TM7 phylum sp. oral taxon 351
Lineage: Bacteria; Candidatus Saccharimonadota
Also listed under: 4 other names
Description: tRNA-Met
Rfam family: tRNA
About the family: Transfer RNA (tRNA) molecules are approximately 80 nucleotides in length. Their secondary structure includes four short double-helical elements and three loops (D, anti-codon, and T loops).
Source: RNAcentral
GGGGGCAUAGCUCAGUGGUUAGAGCAGUCGGCUCAUAACCGAUUGGUCGCUGGUUCAAGCCCAGCUGCCCCCACCA